GUGAUGGAUUCGAAUACAGUGACCAAUGUUCCAUUAUGAUAGAGUAUGCAUGUAUACAUAUACUGCGUAGCUGCUGCUGACCGAGAAAUCUCUAUGCCUGGACAACCUGAAAAGAAGGCUGGACACAUGUGAAGAGGCACUGCUGAUAUGACAUGGACUGGCAACUCUACUGCCCAAAGGGUAGGACUAGGUAGGGACAAUUGCAAGCUGGUGUGGUGGGGACACACCGGUGAGGGCCUAAGACAGACACCUUCAGAGCGAGGGCAAGGAGUGUAAAAGCUGUUGUACAGUACAGCACCCACACCAUACAUACAUACAUAUACAUGCUGGAGUGCAUGUCUUCCCAGCAUCUCGAGAGGCCUUUUUGGUGGCCAGCUAAUACAUACACAUACACUGGGGGGAUGGCUGCAGUCUGCUUCAGAUCAGGCCUAUAUACUGCCAGCCAUCAUGAGCCAUACCUCCUGUAUGUCUGACCAGUACAGCGAGUACUUCCAGUGUAAACCCCUGUCCCACUCAGCCUGGCUUUGCGCAUGUGAUGAGCCACGAGCAAUUCAAUACGGUUGCGAGGAAUUUAAAUGUAGGACUAGAACUAUCUAGAACAGAAGCCGCUAGUGUUCUUGAUGUGAAUGUAAAUGUAUCUGCCCUGUUACCACAUAGCUGGUCUUGGGCUUUCUUCUCUGCCUAUCUCAGCAGACUGCUAAUGGUACUGCGGAGACAGGAUGAGUCACUGGGAUCUAUGCAGUG
This 744-nucleotide long non-coding RNA is filed under the name Volvox carteri. RNAcentral's name for it is "long non-coding RNA (VCAR_LNC004152)". Lineage: Eukaryota; Viridiplantae; Chlorophyta; Chlorophyceae; Chlamydomonadales; Volvocaceae. The record is from RNAcentral.